Molecule: long non-coding RNA, 1653 nt
Organism: Anopheles gambiae (African malaria mosquito)
Lineage: Eukaryota; Metazoa; Arthropoda; Insecta; Diptera; Culicidae
Exons: 2
Source: RefSeq, a predicted model, not a curated record
CUUCUUGUGUAUGCUUUAUCGUUGUUCACCGCUUCAAUAACAUUGCUGCUCACACACACGUCAGUCUGUGGCAAACAAUUGGAGGGGGAGGUGUGUCGGUUUGCUCCAGAAAUCGUGUGUGAUUUUGGUGUUCUGGAAUUUGGUUCCAUCGCUGUUUGUUUUGGUGAAAUUGAAAAGGUAAGAAUCAUCAACCGAUGUAAAAGUGUGAGAGUAAGAUGAUGCUGAUGGUGACUAAUGCUUUUCUUUGUUUCUUUUCCUGCUUUCAUCCACUGAUGGCGUCGAGCAUCGCCGAGGGUGUGAUCGAAUGCGGAAAAUUCUAAACGAGGAGCUUCAUUCCGGAUUUUGUUUGCAAUAAGCGCUGAAAUCAUCCUCCAGCUUAUAACGAACGGUCAACGGAUGAGGAAGGAGAGGAAGGACGGCAAAGGUACACGCACAAACGUGCACACCUCAGUCUUGUCGGAGAACGAGAACACGGGAGGGGGAGAUCGGCAACGUAGGUUCUAUACGUUCUUCAUUUACGCUCCCUCGUGCGUUCGUGCGUGCGUGCGCGCGCGUAUCUAUGUGUGUGUAUGUGUGUGCAUGCCUGUGUGGCUGUGUGUGUUUUUGCGGCUUCGCGUUAACGAGAUCCUACGGGAUCACCUUGCGAAAAACACCAAGAGAGGGGGUAGGGGUAUGUGCCUGUGUGUGUAUGUGUGCUUGCAUGCGUACGUGGUUGUGAGUGUGUUUUUUGCUGUUUUGCGAUCUCCUACGGAAUCAAAAGGGGGUGGGGGGGAAACACGAGGGGGGAAGGAGUGGGGUGUGUGUUUGUGUGCUAGCCUGCAUGCGUGCGUGGCUUUGUGUGUGUUUUUGCGUUCGCGUUCUCCUACGGGAUUACCUUGCGAAAAACACCAUGGGGAGGAGGAGGUGUGUGUGUGUUUUAUUUUCUUUGUCGUUUCGCACUCUCCCGCGGGUCUCCUUGUGUGCGUUAGUUUUUUUGUUUUUCAACAAGAAAAAAAAUACUUUGAAAAAUACCAGUGGGAAGGGUGUGUGUAUGAAUGAAAGAAUGUGCUUAGAAAAAGAAAGUGGAAAAAAAUUGAACAACGGAUUCGUAAGUGUGUUUGAACUCAUUGCAAUCCGAAAAAAAGCGAGGGGGGCUCUUGAAAUGUAGUACUCAUGUAUGCAACAUGUAUCGUGUCGCCGCGACGGUGUAUCUCGCUCGAUCCGUUAAGCCUGAAAAGUGCUUCUAUCGGAUCGUCUAAUCGGGCGCCAUUUAAUCAAUCCGUUAGCGAAAAGUCGCAUGGAUUUUGGUACCGGGGUUUGCUUAAUUUUAAAUUGGCGACCAUUUAUUAGGAUGCCAAAUUUUUCUAGAUAAUUUAGCUCCGUUACAAAGGAUCGCAAAUAAUCCUCAACUGAUUCCGGUUUGGAUUCGCCCGCAAAAAUGACCUCUGUCAUCACCGGCACCUCUGGCAUCUCAGGGAGCCGCAUUAGAAUCGGCCAGAAUUGGUUCAAUCCACUCUUAUGAAGAGGUAACCCAUCAAUAAAAAAAUCCAAUUCUAUUGUCCCUAAAUUUGGAGUCACAAGUCUAUAGUGCAAUGGAAAAUGUAUUAGUACAAAACAAUCUUCCCACUCUCCUCUCACCCCCCCCCCCCACCAACCAUUUUUAAAACAAGAAAA